This 253-nucleotide ribosomal RNA is filed under the name uncultured bacterium. RNAcentral's name for it is "partial 16S ribosomal RNA". It matches the Rfam family "Bacterial small subunit ribosomal RNA", at positions 524 to 776 of the family's 1533-position model. The record is from RNAcentral.
UACGUAGGGGGCAAGCGUUGUCCGGAAUCAUUGGGCGUAAAGCGCGUGUAGGCGGCCAGGUAAGUCCGUUCUGAAAGCCCCGGGCUCAACCUGGGAAUUGCAUUCGAGACUGAAUAGCUAGGGUACGGUAGAGGGAAGUGGAAUUUCCGGUGUAGCGGUGAAAUGCGUAGAUAUCGGAAGGAACAUCAGUGGCGAAGGCGGGUCUCUGGGCCGUAACUGACGCUGAGGAGCGAAAGCGUGGGGAGCGAACAGG